AUGCCGCCCCCUCCCAAGAAUGCAGUGGGAGGCUGGACCCUGAGCUGCAUGAACAGUUGUGGAGGGACUGGGUGGAUCUCAGGAGGGUUUGUGUAUGGGGCUGAAUCAUGGUGUGUUUUCUUUGGCCUUGGCACCUGGUUGACCAUCCUUGGUCAGCCCAAGGCUGGCCUGUCAGUCACUCUGUUCCCACCAUCCCCUGAGGAGCUCAAAACCAACAAAGCCACACUGUUGUGUCUUGUCAAUGACUUCUACCCAGACAUAAUUACAAUGGCCUGGAAGGCAGACAGCUCCCCUGCCAUCCAAGGUGUGGAGACCACCAAAUCCUCCAAACAGAGAAAUAUUAAGUAUGUGGUCAGCAGCUACCUGACCCUGACACCUGAACAGUGGACAUCUUGCAGCAACUACAGCUGCCAGAAAAUGCACAAAGGAAGCACUGUGGAGAAGACAGUGGCCCAUGCAUGGUGUCUUUAG
This is a non-coding RNA of Carlito syrichta (Philippine tarsier), 471 nucleotides long. The record is from the annotation of a RefSeq genome assembly. NCBI's taxonomy places the organism in Eukaryota, Metazoa, Chordata, Mammalia, Primates, Tarsiidae.